This 666-nucleotide ribosomal RNA is filed under the name Pseudechiniscus sp. 9 PG-2020. Its description in RNAcentral is "partial large subunit ribosomal RNA". It matches the Rfam family "Eukaryotic large subunit ribosomal RNA", at positions 71 to 614 of the family's 3401-position model. The record is from RNAcentral. Lineage: Eukaryota; Metazoa; Tardigrada; Heterotardigrada; Echiniscoidea; Echiniscidae.
GGGAUUCCCUCAGUAACGGCGAGUGAAGAGGGAGAAGCCCAGCGCUGAAUCGUAUUGCUUGCAAAGGUAGUAUGACAUGUGGCGUGAAGCUGGCGGCUAUUGCUGUUGUCGAUGCGUGUAAGUCUCCCUGAGCGGGGCUCAGUCCCAGAGAUGGUGCUAGGCCCGUAUCGCGCGUGACAAGUACAGCAAUGUUCGUUAGCGGAGAGUCAGGUUGCUUGGGAACGCAAUCUAAAGUCGGUGGUACACUCCAUCGAAGGCUAAAUAUGGCUUCGAGUCCGAUAGCGAACAAGUACCGUGAGGGAAAAUUGAAAAGCACUUUGAAGAGAGAGCGAAAUAGUGCGUGAAACCGCUCAGAGGUAAGCAGAUGGGCCUUUGAAGGUGUGCAUAGGAUUUAUUUCCUAGUUCGUACGCCACCGUCGUUGCUUGAUUUUAUGGUGCGCCAUGCGCUGACAUUUGGACACCCGAGAUUGGGACUCGUGCCUGCUCGGGAUGCUCGGUGUUGGACGUAAUGAGUAUAGCGGCACUCGGUAACGAAGCAGGGCAUUGUCGUUGCUGUAAAGCGCCGGCUGUGUUUGCUUGCUGGCGUAUUUUGCUGUUGUAACGAGACGCAAGUCUCGGUAUGCGGCGUACGUCGCAACUCAAGCAUUAGCCCCGGCAUAACGACUU